This 1672-nucleotide long non-coding RNA is filed under the name Hordeum vulgare. RNAcentral's name for it is "long non-coding RNA (HVUL_LNC017544)". Lineage: Eukaryota; Viridiplantae; Streptophyta; Magnoliopsida; Poales; Poaceae. The record is from RNAcentral.
UAUUUUAUUUGCGAGAGAUACAAUAAUUAUCCUUCAAAAUGAAUGCAUGAUUUCCCCGGAAUCGUUCCAAACCAAUAAAUAUCAUUCAUAACAUGUAAAGGGUCGCCGACAAUAAAUCUAUUACUUAUUGUGAUACUAUAAUCGAUGUAAAGUGUAUACACUCAACCACCUUACAAGAUACAAAUAAUUUCUCACAUAAAUAUAUGUUGCUCAAUCUCCAAUGAAGAAAAGGUAAGUUCCACAAGCUACCUACAGAUGAAUAAAACUUCUUUUGCUGCAAUAAAAAGAGUAGAUCAGAUGCAAGGAGAAUCAUAUAAGCUAGACUAGGAGAUGCAUGGGAGAAUAAGAAAAUAAAUACUAUCAACUUCAAAUACAAUAUGGUAAGAGGAGACUUUGAUAAAGAGAUGUUUGUUUCUCUAUAUAGCUGCCACCGUAUCAAGCCGUGGGGACGAUCAUUUCUUGGCUACGGGUUCCCUUGGCCCUUCAUAUUUUGGUCCUAGAUUUAGCCAGUGCGUGCUCUAGAUCACUAUUGAGAAACAAUCAGAUACACUCAAGGUUAGUGCAUCCAUCUUUAUGCUGCAGCCCCAAAGACAAACAUCCUUUUGGGUGCAGGUUCUACUGAAGGAGCUGCUUAUGGUUGAUGUUGGCCUCUUGUGAUAUCUCUCGACGUCUUUCACUGCCACUGUCAAUUGUGGUGGACCAAGCCUUAGUCGUGUGCCUCAGGACAACACGAAACCAUCAAAAGGCCCCAAACACGCCAAUGCUAAUUGUGUGACACCUGAAUANNNNNNNNNNCCUGCAGCCCCAAAGACAAACAUCCUUUUGGGUGCAGGUUCUGCUGAAGGAGCUGCUUAUGGUCGAUGUUGGCCUCUUGUGCUAUCUCUCGACGUCUUUCACUGCCACUGUCAAUUGUGGUGGACCAAGCCUUAGUUGUGUGCCUCACGAACUCAAAUUUACCCUCACCGACACGAAACUAUCAAAAGGCCCCAAACACGCCAAUGCUAAUUGUGUGACACCUGAAUAGUAUGGCCUUGGACUUUUUGCCAACCUCUUUGUUAGACUUGAUUAAAUGUAGCUUGCUAGGUAUGCCCAAUUCAUGUAUGUCUUCUUCCUGAAAAUAUGAUAUCAAGUAUUUGUCGUUUGCAUAUGCUUGUCGUGAUGUCCUCUAAUGUUGUGAUAAUGGGUCUCCAAGUGAAUUCAAAACCAACGAGAGGUUCUUUUGUAGUUUAGAAUAGGCCCACUCUAACAUUCCACGGUUGUGCUUUUAUCACUUCUUUUGUAGUCAUCGCCCCACAUUUUUUAAAUGCCUACCUUUUUCCCAUGAUGGUGGGACCAAAUCCAACAUUUUUAGUACAUUCUCUAUGUUGUGCUUGUGUUCAACACUUUAUGUGGUUGAAGACAUCAAUGAUUCAUUGUUCUUUGGAAGAGAAUCCACUUAUCCUCCUACCCUCACUGAUGUUAAUUUAGCAGUAAAAAUAAUAAGAAUGCUAUUUUAAGUGCUUUACAUGAUGAGUCAUCUAGUGGCAUCGUUAUUAAUUCAAUAUUGAGAGAGAGAGAGAGAGAGAGAGAGGGAGGGAGGGAGAGAGAGGGAGAUAGAUAGAUAGAUAGAUAGAUAGAGAGAGAGAGAGUUAUGCUCAAGACACAACCCUAUGAUUUGAAGUGAACAUGAAUC